RNAcentral lists this transfer RNA (71 nucleotides) under Phymaturus excelsus. Its description in RNAcentral is "tRNA-Trp". It matches the Rfam family "tRNA". Rfam says of the family: Transfer RNA (tRNA) molecules are approximately 80 nucleotides in length. Their secondary structure includes four short double-helical elements and three loops (D, anti-codon, and T loops). Further hydrogen bonds mediate the characteristic L-shaped molecular structure. tRNAs have two regions of fundamental functional importance: the anti-codon, which is responsible for specific mRNA codon recognition, and the 3' end, to which the tRNAs corresponding amino acid is attached (by aminoacyl-tRNA synthetases). tRNAs cope with the degeneracy of the genetic code in two manners: having more than one tRNA (with a specific anti-codon) for a particular amino acid; and 'wobble' base-pairing, i.e. permitting non-standard base-pairing at the 3rd anti-codon position. RNAcentral also lists the same sequence under 3 other names. Lineage: Eukaryota; Metazoa; Chordata; Lepidosauria; Squamata. The record is from RNAcentral.
AGGAAUUUAGGAUAAUAUAAACCAUGGACCUUCAAAGCCCAAAACAGAGGUAUCAACCCCACUAAUUCCUG